UACGAAGGGGGCUAGCGUUGCUCGGAAUCACUGGGCGUAAAGGGCGCGUAGGCGGACUCUUAAGUCGGGGGUGAAAGCCCAGGGCUCAACCCUGGAAUUGCCUUCGAUACUGAGAGUCUUGAGUUCGGAAGAGGUUGGUGGAACUGCGAGUGUAGAGGUGAAAUUCGUAGAUAUUCGCAAGAACACCAGUGGCGAAGGCGGCCAACUGGUCCGAUACUGACGCUGAGGAGCGAAAGCGUGGGGAGCGAACAGG
Molecule: ribosomal RNA, 253 nt
Filed under: uncultured bacterium
Lineage: Bacteria
Description: partial 16S ribosomal RNA
Rfam family: Bacterial small subunit ribosomal RNA
Source: RNAcentral